Molecule: long non-coding RNA, 260 nt
Organism: Oncorhynchus tshawytscha (Chinook salmon)
Lineage: Eukaryota; Metazoa; Chordata; Actinopteri; Salmoniformes; Salmonidae
Source: Ensembl
UUACAUGGUUGCAGGUGUUAUUACAGGGUACAGUGUUUAAUAGUCAGAUGUACAGGGUUACAGGUGUUAUUACAGUGUUUAAUAGUCACAUGUACAGGGUUACAGGUGUUAUUACAGGGUACAGUGUUUAAUAGUCACAUGUACAGGGUUGCAGGUGUUAUUACAGUGUUUAAUAGUCACAUGUACAGGGUUGCAGGUGUUAUUAGUGUUUAAUAGUCACAUGUACAUGGUUGCAGGUGUUAUUACAGGGUACAGUGUUU